Molecule: ribosomal RNA, 205 nt
Filed under: uncultured bacterium
Lineage: Bacteria
Description: partial 16S ribosomal RNA
Rfam family: Bacterial small subunit ribosomal RNA
Source: RNAcentral
UGCGUAGGUGGUGAGGUAAGUCGGAUGUGAAAGCUCGGAGCUCAACUCCGAAAUGGCAUUGGAAACUACCUUGCUAGAGGGUUGGAGGGGGGACUGGAAUGCUUGGUGUAGCAGUGAAAUGCGUAGAUAUCAAGCGGAACACCAGUGGCGAAGGCGAGUCCCUGGACAACUCCUGACACUGAGGCACGAAAGCUGGGAGCAAACA